CCUACGGGGGGCAGCAGUGGGGAAUAUUGCACAAUGGGCGCAAGCCUGAUGCAGCCAUGCCGCGUGUGUGAAGAAGGCCUUCGGGUUGUAAAGCACUUUCAGCGGGGAGGAAGGCGUUAAGGUUAAUAACCUUGGCGAUUGACGUUACCCGCAGAAGAAGCACCGGCUAACUUCGUGCCAGCAGCCGCGGUAAUACGGAGGGUGCAAGCGUUAAUCGGAAUUACUGGGCGUAAAGCGCACGCAGGCGGUCUGUCAAGUCGGAUGUGAAAUCCCCGGGCUCAACCUGGGAACUGCAUUCGAAACUGGCAGGCUAGAGUCUUGUAGAGGGGGGUAGAAUUCCAGGUGUAGCGGUGAAAUGCGUAGAGAUCUGGAGGAAUACCGGUGGCGAAGGCGGCCCCCUGGACAAAGACUGACGCUCAGGUGCGAAAGCGUGGGGAGCAAACAGGAUUAGAUACCCGUGUAGUC
RNAcentral lists this ribosomal RNA (465 nucleotides) under uncultured Klebsiella sp. RNAcentral describes it as "bacterial SSU rRNA". It matches the Rfam family "Bacterial small subunit ribosomal RNA", at positions 338 to 795 of the family's 1533-position model. Lineage: Bacteria; Pseudomonadati; Pseudomonadota; Gammaproteobacteria; Enterobacterales; Enterobacteriaceae. The record is from RNAcentral.